This 89-nucleotide ribosomal RNA is filed under the name Periophthalmus magnuspinnatus. Lineage: Eukaryota; Metazoa; Chordata; Actinopteri; Gobiiformes; Gobiidae. The record is from RNAcentral.
CCAUACCACCAUGUUAAUGCCUGAUCUGGUCUCUACUGGUUUGUACUUGCAUGGGAGACCACUGGGAAUACCAGGUGCCACGGUAUGGC